This is a non-coding RNA of Ceratotherium simum simum (southern white rhinoceros), 390 nucleotides long. The record is from RefSeq and is a predicted model, not a curated record. Lineage: Eukaryota; Metazoa; Chordata; Mammalia; Perissodactyla; Rhinocerotidae.
AGGCCAGGGAGCUGGAGAGCCGAGAGGCGGAGCUGAGACGCCGCGACACCUGCUACAAGGAGCAACUGGGGUGCAUUGAGAAGAAGAAUUCUGAGAUCUAUAAACUGUCUUCACAGCAAUUCCAUGAGGCAGCUUCAAAAAUGGAGGGCAUGAUAAGGCCACGCAGGCUGGAGCCCGUGUGCUCAGGGCUGCAGGCCCAGAUCCUCCGCUGCUACCGCGACCACCUGCAGGAGGUGCUGCUGUGCUCCGAGCUGGUCAAGGCCUACCAGCACUGCGUGAGCGCCGCCCACAAGGGUUGAGGAGCAGCCAUCACUCCUGGCCCUGGCAGUGACUUGGAGCCCUGAAGAAGGGUCUGGUGAUGGAACCACAGUCCACAGACCCCUGGGCCAC